UUUCAAACACAACCUUGGGCAUUUGGCAUUACGACUUACUACAAACAGCUGUAUUUCUCAGGAAAAAAAAAAAAAAACUAUGGAUGGAGAGAUCUUCUUCACUACUAACAUGAGCGCUGAAAGCAACUGGAACUUCCUUCACAAGCUGUAACUAUGCCAGUUUUCCACCGUUACAUCUUGAUGUUAACAUUAAUGAACCAGGA
Molecule: long non-coding RNA, 203 nt
Organism: Aquila chrysaetos chrysaetos
Lineage: Eukaryota; Metazoa; Chordata; Aves; Accipitriformes; Accipitridae
Exons: 3
Source: RefSeq, a predicted model, not a curated record